Molecule: ribosomal RNA, 476 nt
Filed under: uncultured bacterium
Lineage: Bacteria
Description: partial 16S ribosomal RNA
Rfam family: Bacterial small subunit ribosomal RNA
Source: RNAcentral
GAUGAACGCUGGCGGCGUGCUUAACACAUGCAAGUCGAGCGAGUGAGUUCUUCGGAACGAUCUAGCGGCGGACGGGUGAGUAACACGUGGGCAACCUGCCUCAUAGAGGGGAAUAGCCUCCCGAAAGGGAGAUUAAUACCGCAUAAAAUUAUAGAGUGGCAUCACAUGAUAAUCAAAGGAGUAAUCCGCUAUGAGAUGGGCCCGCGGCGCAUUAGCUAGUUGGUAAGGUAACGGCUUACCAAGGCGACGAUGCGUAGCCGACCUGAGAGGGUGAUCGGCCACAUUGGGACUGAGACACGGCCCAGACUCCUACGGGAGGCAGCAGUGGGGAAUAUUGCACAAUGGGGGAAACCCUGAUGCAGCAACGCCGCGUGAGUGAUGAAGGUCUUCGGAUUGUAAAGCUCUGUCUUUGGGGACGAUAAUGACGGUACCCAAGGAGGAAGCCACGGCUAACUACGUGCCAGCCGCCGCAGUAA